AAGUAGUAAAACAUUAUAUUAAAACUCUAAUAUUGUGGCAGCAUUAAACUACCCCAAAGAAACUCGUUUUUUAAUCGACAACACUCGUUAAUCUUCACUUUAAUUCAUUCCAACAAAUCACUUCAGCUUAUAUACCGCCGUAUACGAUCUUAACAACUCAUAUUACUUUUCUUAACAUUUCCACUUAAAAUUCAGGUCAAGGUGUAGCCUAUGCUAAAGUUAAAAUGAGUCUCAUUCAAAAUCUAUGCACCAGAAAAAAAUCGUUCAAAAACAUUAAUCAAUAAGAAUUUGGAUUCACUUCUAUAAUAUUAUUUAAUUACGAAAAUACCGUUAAAUGUGU
Molecule: ribosomal RNA, 340 nt
Filed under: Stenoonops sp. MA177
Lineage: Eukaryota; Metazoa; Arthropoda; Arachnida; Araneae; Oonopidae
Description: partial 12S ribosomal RNA
Source: RNAcentral